RNAcentral lists this small RNA (159 nucleotides) under Octodon degus (degu). RNAcentral's name for it is "TUC338 (ENSODEG00000022583.1)". The record is from RNAcentral. Lineage: Eukaryota; Metazoa; Chordata; Mammalia; Rodentia; Octodontidae.
CUUAUUUUUUUAAGUCCUCCAUUUUUUCACAGAACAGGUAGAACACAGACAACAGAAAUUCAACUUUCCCCACAUUGCCCUGCCAGUGUGCUGCGAGCCUGACCUGAGGGGGUGGGGUUGGGGCAAGAAGGCAGCUCAUCCAUUCAGUCUAGGGCCAUU